This 502-nucleotide ribosomal RNA is filed under the name uncultured bacterium. RNAcentral describes it as "partial 16S ribosomal RNA". It matches the Rfam family "Bacterial small subunit ribosomal RNA", at positions 28 to 507 of the family's 1533-position model. The record is from RNAcentral.
GAUUAACGCUGGCGGCGUGCCUAACGCAUGCAAGUCGAGCGGCAGCGCGUUUUACACUGAAUUCUGGAAGCUUCUAGUUGAAAGAGAAGAUUUAUUCAAGAAUUUUGUGUAAAAUGUCGGCGAGCGGCGGACGGCUGAGUAACGCGUGGGAACGUACCCCAAAGUGAGGGAUAACGCAUCGAAAGGUGUGCUAAUACCGCAUAUGGUCUUCGGAUUAAAGCCUUCGGGCGCUUUGGGAACGGCCUGCGUAAGAUUAGAUAGUUGGUGGGGUAAUGGCCUACCAAGUCGACGAUCUUUAACUGGUUUGAGAGGAUGAUCAGUCAGACUGGAACUGAGACACGGUCCAGACUCCUACGGGAGGCAGCAGUGAGGAAUCUUCCACAAUGGGCGAAAGCCUGAUGGAGCAACGCCGCGUGCAGGAUGAAGGCCUUCGGGUUGUAAACUGCUUUUAUAAGUGAGGAUUAUGACAGUAACUUAUGAAUAAGAAUCGGCUAACUACGUG